Alligator mississippiensis (American alligator) is the source of this 1820-nucleotide long non-coding RNA. RefSeq lists it as uncharacterized. The transcript is spliced from 2 exons. NCBI's taxonomy places the organism in Eukaryota, Metazoa, Chordata, Crocodylia, Alligatoridae. The record is from RefSeq and is a predicted model, not a curated record.
CAUCUGCCUGGCCAAGAGCAACUACAACACGUAUGGUUCCCACUGCCCCGCCUCUUGCUCUGUGGCCUCCCCGGGGGGCUGCGCAGAGGGCUGCGUCUGCCUGGCUAACCUCGUCUCCAGCGGAGCCGACUGCAUCCUGGCCUCGGUUUAUGGCUGCCUUGGCCCGGCAGCACCUACUGCCCGGUGGGAGAUGCCUGAUUUGAGGAGGAGUGCUUUGAGUGCUGCACGUGCCGUGGCCCUGGGGACCUGACAUGCGAGCGCAGCCACAGCACGCCUUCAAGGACCGUUGGUUCCAAGACAGCAAGAACGACUGCCAGCCCCUUCGUGACUGCUCCUGGCUCUGGGGUGGGGAGAGCAGGGCCCAGGAUGCAGCCAGCUCCCCACAUCUGCUAAACCAUGGCAGAAAGCUACCUUGCAGCUAGCAUUUUACGUGUACAGUUUACACCUAAAAUGUAUGACUUGACUUUUACCUGUCCACUGAGGCUUUUCUGGCCUGUUUCGCACAAACUAAUUGUGCACCUUUGGGACAAAGCUUGUAACAGUAUGUGCAAGGAACAGAUUCCGGCUUCAGGAAUGCAAAUGCUGCAGAGACAAGUGCCUGGGCUGAACGUGUGCCCUUAUGCCACUGAGAUUUACUGUACCCAGCACAGAAGAGUGAACUGGCCAUAGACUUUUUGACAGCUUCUGUUGGACACUUGUAUAUGGAUUUAGUCCACGUAUUUGGUAUAUAACACACACUGCGUGUCACUUUUCUUAGACAAAUAUUUUCUUGUUGUAAAAUCUGCUUUAUAUUUUAGUGGGUACAAUGUAGCGGUGGAUUUAUCUCUCACAAAUGAAAGGUCAGAAAGAAGUGAAGGAGGAAGAGGGGAAAGGAGGCACGGACAGAGUUGACUGAGCUUUAUUCCAUCUUUGCUUGCAGCCUGUUGUUGAGGCUUUAACAUCUGCGUUGUCUUGUGUUUCAGAGCCUGCUUUCAGAUGAAAGAAGCCAGAACGCUCUCAACCAAAGUACAAUGUGUGUUGCUCAUGCUCCAUAUGUCAACUUGGAGCAGAAAGUGAAAGCUACCCUUCACCAAUGAAAGCUAGCAGCACAGACAAUGCCCAUGGGUCCCUACUCUGUUCUAAUCAGUCCAAACAUCAAGGUUACACAUAGUCAAUUCAAACCUCUUCAAUAAAGCUCAGAAUCUGCACUGCCCUCAAUUAUCCAUCACCACUCACUCGAAGCAGUCCUGUCUACCUAAGCUCCAAGGCUGCCCCAACCUACACAGCCCGUACUGUCACAUAUGCUAGUCCCACCAAACAUACACCAUACUACCUCCUAGCAGCAGCCAUCCAAGCCGACCACUACUCAACCCCCUGCUCUGUAUCCAACAAAGCCCAACACACUGCCCUCUCCAAGCCUCCACACUAUAUGCAACCAAGCUAAUGCCACCAUAUGCUUCACCCUCUAAAUGAGGCUCCUGAAUGUCCCCAGGCUUCUACCAACUACAGCUCAUGCAAAGGCCAGUCUCCACCCAAAGGACAAAAAGAAAGAAAAGGGAAAAAGAAGCCAGGAUUGGAAUAAAGACAGGAGCAAGGGCUGUACAGUAGAGGCAGGAUAGGAGGCAAGGCUGUGGGAGGACAGUCGAGGCAAGGCUGUGGGAGGACAGUCAAGACAAGGUAGUGAGGCAGGAGAAGGGAAAUCAGGAAAGGGAAGAAGAGGGUUCAUGAGACUGACUGGCACAUAGUGCAUCAAGGGGGGUCUCCAGGCAGGGCUAGGGGACAACAGCCCUGGGGCAGAGACAGUAGAGCAGUAGAUGGGGAGCAAGGAGGAACAGGGAUGA